GAAACAUGUCGACUGGUUGUAAGCUACUCAGUCUAUAACGUCCCUCUAUAUUCUGCUCCGGCACACCAUAGCAGAGAUAAUUAAGGUCACGAGCACAAGUGGCAGGAUUACACGAUACAUAAAUGAUCCGUGAUGCUCUCAAUCUUAGCAAAAAUUUGAUCAAUUUUAUGUGCAUUCCAGGGCGAUUAGGAUCUGUGAUAACAAUGUCAGGCUUGGGCAAGUUGCUCGCGAAGGUCGAAUCAAUUUUAUUCAAAUCACCUUCGAUGAAGGUUGCAUUAUUGAUGAAAUUUAGAGUGGCAUUUUGACGUGCAUCUGAUAC
RNAcentral lists this unclassified non-coding RNA (319 nucleotides) under Hevea brasiliensis (rubber tree). Lineage: Eukaryota; Viridiplantae; Streptophyta; Magnoliopsida; Malpighiales; Euphorbiaceae. The record is from RNAcentral.